This 87-nucleotide transfer RNA is filed under the name Cytophagaceae bacterium. RNAcentral's name for it is "tRNA-Ser". It matches the Rfam family "tRNA". From Rfam's summary of the family: Transfer RNA (tRNA) molecules are approximately 80 nucleotides in length. Their secondary structure includes four short double-helical elements and three loops (D, anti-codon, and T loops). Lineage: Bacteria; Pseudomonadati; Bacteroidota; Cytophagia; Cytophagales; Cytophagaceae. The record is from RNAcentral.
AGAGAGGUGUCCGAGUGGUUGAAGGAGCACGCUUGGAAAGCGUGUAAACGGGUGACUGUUUCGAGGGUUCGAAUCCCUUCCUCUCUA